RNAcentral lists this ribosomal RNA (808 nucleotides) under uncultured Planctomycetota bacterium. RNAcentral's name for it is "bacterial SSU rRNA". It matches the Rfam family "Bacterial small subunit ribosomal RNA", at positions 46 to 832 of the family's 1533-position model. The record is from RNAcentral. Lineage: Bacteria; Pseudomonadati; Planctomycetota.
GGAUUAGGCAUGCAAGUCGCACGAGAAAGGUUUCUUCGGAAGCCGAGUACAGUGGCGAACGGGUGAGUAAUGCAUAGACAACUCGCCCUUGAGAUGGGGACAACGCCUCGAAAGGGGUGCUAAUACCCAAUGCCGCCUUGGGCCUGCGGGUCCAGGGUGAAAGGAGGCCUCUGAUUCAAGCUUCCGCUCAAGGAGAGGUUUAUGUCCUAUUAGCUAGUUGGCGGGGUAACGGCCCACCAAGGCUGCGAUGGGUAGCCGACCUGAGAGGGUGACCGGCCACAUUGGGACUGAGACACUGCCCAGACUCCUACGGGGGGCUGCAGUCGAGAAUCUUCCGCAAUGCGCGCAAGCGUGACGGAGCGACGCCGCGUGGGUGAUGAAGGCCUUCGGGUUGUAAAACCCUGUCAGCUACUACGAAACACGGGCGAUGAACAAUCGUCCCGUCUGACUUAAGUAGCAGAGGAAGCACCGGCUAACUACGUGCCAGCAGCCGCGGUAAUACGUAGGGUGCAAACGUUGUUCGGAAUCACUGGGCAUAAAGGGCGCGUAGGCGGUCUGAUAAGUCAGGUGUGAAAUCCCUCGGCCUAACCGGGGAACUGCAUUUGAUACUGUCGGGCUAGAGUACAGGAGGGGAGAGUGGAAUUCCUGGUGGAGCGGUGAAAUGCGUAGAUAUCAGGAGGAACGCCGGCGGCGAAAGCGACUCUCUGGCCUGUUACUGACGCUGAGGCGCGAAAGCUAGGGGAGCAAACGGGAUUAGAUACCCCGGUAGUCCUAGCCCUAAACGAUGGGCACUAAGUAGAGGGGUUUU